GCAGUCGAACGGUAACAGGCCGCAAGGUGCUGACGAGUGGCGAACGGGUGAGUAAUGCAUCGGAACGUGCCCAGUAGUGGGGGAUAGCCCGGCGAAAGCCGGAUUAAUACCGCAUACGACCUAUGGGUGAAAGCGGGGGACCGAAAGGCCUCGCGCUAUUGGAGCGGCCGAUGUCAGAUUAGGUAGUUGGUGGGGUAAAGGCCUACCAAGCCUACGAUCUGUAGCUGGUCUGAGAGGACGACCAGCCACACUGGGACUGAGACACGGCCCAGACUCCUACGGGAGGCAGCAGUGGGGAAUUUUGGACAAUGGGCGCAAGCCUGAUCCAGCCAUGCCGCGUGCGGGAAGAAGGCCUUCGGGUUGUAAACCGCUUUUGUCAGGGAAGAAAUCUUCUGGGUUAAUACCUCGGGAGGAUGACGGUACCUGAAGAAUAAGCACCGGCUAACUACGUGCCAGCAGCCGCGGUAAUACGUAGGGUGCAAGCGUUAAUCGGAAUUACUGGGCGUAAAGCGUGCGCAGGCGGUUAUGUAAGACAGAUGUGAAAUCCCCGGGCUUAACCUGGGAACUGCAUUUGUGACUGCAUAGCUUGAGUGCGGCAGAGGGGGAUGGAAUUCCGCGUGUAGCAGUGAAAUGCGUAGAUAUGCGGAGGAACACCGAUGGCGAAGGCAAUCCCCUGGGCCUGCACUGACGCUCAUGCACGAAAGCGUGGGGAGCAAACAGGAUUAGAU
Molecule: ribosomal RNA, 728 nt
Filed under: Rubrivivax sp. YIM117
Lineage: Bacteria; Pseudomonadati; Pseudomonadota; Betaproteobacteria; Burkholderiales; Sphaerotilaceae
Description: bacterial SSU rRNA
Rfam family: Bacterial small subunit ribosomal RNA
Source: RNAcentral